Molecule: unclassified non-coding RNA, 1234 nt
Filed under: Bombus terrestris (buff-tailed bumblebee)
Lineage: Eukaryota; Metazoa; Arthropoda; Insecta; Hymenoptera; Apidae
Description: misc RNA ENSBTSG00005034794.1
Source: RNAcentral
CAUUGAGCAAUCUUGAAACUGUUCUUUUUUCUUAUUUUUUGAUCAAAUUUGAUUUUAGGUCCUAUCCCUUGAUUUAUCUUUGCAAAAAUAUAAAUUUACAUCGAAACGCGUUAUAUAAACGCGAAUACUAGUUUACUCUUUCAUUUAGUUGAAGUUUGGUAAUUCAGUUUCGUUGAACUUCGUGUCAUAAAAACGAAACGGAAUAUACAUCUGCUCUCGGUUGAAUUUACUUCAAUUCUGACGUCGCAUUCGUAUCUUUCUAAGGAAGUCGUAGAAACUCUUCGAAACGCGUUAUCCUACAUUUUUACGAUUUUCAUACAAAGUUACGAAGCAAUCAGUUCGACUUUCAAAUCUGUAAUCCUCUCACUGACGGCGGUAUUGCUAAACUUCGAAUCCUCUACUUCUCCUCUACUUUUACAACGAUGCUUGUCGAUACAUUUUAUAUUUAUGACAAACUGCUGGUUAGAAACGAUGCUUAUUACCAACGAACACAAACAAACUAUUCGCUGCAGUAAUUGCUUCUUCAUCAAAUCAAUAUUUAUUUCUAGGAAACUAGACCUUCUCCAAAUUGCAUAUGAAAAUAUUAACGAUAAAAAUACAAUAAUAUAUUGUAGGUUAGAAACGAUGCUUAAUGCCAAGAAAGACAGACUAUCUGCUGUGGAAAUUACAUCUUGACCAACCCAAUAUUUAUUCUUAAAAGCUGAAACCCGAUCUUCUUCCAAAUUGUGUAUUGGAAUAACAAUAAUAAAGAUACAAUGAUAUAUUGUAGGUUAGGAACGAUGCUUAUUGUCAAGAAACGCAAACUAUUUGCUGUGGAAAUUAUAUCUUGACCAACCAGAUAUUUAUUCUUAAAAGCUGAAACCUGAUCUUUUUCCAAAUUGUGUAUUGGAAUAACAACAAUAAAGAUACAAUGAUAUAUUGUAGGUUAGGAACGAUGCUUAUUGUCAAGAAACGCAAACUAUUUGCUGUGGAGAUUAUAUCUUGACCAACCGGAUAUUUAUUCUUAAAAGCUGAAACCUGAUCUUUUUCCAAAUUGUGUAUUGGAAUAACAACAACGAAGAUACAAUAAUACAUUGUAGGUUAGAAACUGUUUUAUCGACAAGGAACAAAAGAAUCUUAUCCAUCGUAGAAAUUCGACGUUACUUCUCAACAACUAACUAUUUAUCCUUAAAAGCUCGAAUUUAUUUAAAGAGACAACGCAUAGCGCGCAUACGGUAGAAGAGAACCGUUGUAC